This 758-nucleotide ribosomal RNA is filed under the name uncultured Enterobacteriaceae bacterium. Its description in RNAcentral is "bacterial SSU rRNA". It matches the Rfam family "Bacterial small subunit ribosomal RNA", at positions 28 to 776 of the family's 1533-position model. The record is from RNAcentral. Lineage: Bacteria; Pseudomonadati; Pseudomonadota; Gammaproteobacteria; Enterobacterales; Enterobacteriaceae.
AUUGAACGCUGGCGGCAGCCUAACACAUGCAAGUCGAGCGGCAGCGGAAAGUAGCUUGCUACUUUGCCGGCGAGCGGCGGACGGGUGAGUAAUGUCUGGGAAACUGCGUGAUGGAGGGGGAUAACUACUGGAAACGGUAGCUAAUACCGCAUGACCUCGAAAGAGCAAAGUGGGGGAUCUUCGGACCUCACGCCAUCGGAUGUGCCCAGAUGGGAUUAGCUAGUAGGUGAGGUAAUGGCUCACCUAGGCGACGAUCCCUAGCUGGUCUGAGAGGAUGACCAGCCACACUGGAACUGAGACACGGUCCAGACUCCUACGGGAGGCAGCAGUGGGGAAUAUUGCACAAUGGGCGCAAGCCUGAUGCAGCCAUGCCGCGUGUGUGAAGAAGGCCUUAGGGUUGUAAAGCACUUUCAGCGAGGAGGAAGGCAUCACACUUAAUACGUGUGGUGAUUGACGUUACUCGCAGAAGAAGCACCGGCUAACUCCGUGCCAGCAGCCGCGGUAAUACGGAGGGUGCAAGCGUUAAUCGGAAUUACUGGGCGUAAAGCGCACGCAGGCGGUUUGUUAAGUCAGAUGUGAAAUCCCCGCGCUUAACGUGGGAACUGCAUUUGAAACUGGCAAGCUAGAGUCUUGUAGAGGGGGGUAGAAUUCCAGGUGUAGCGGUGAAAUGCGUAGAGAUCUGGAGGAAUACCGGUGGCGAAGGCGGCCCCCUGGACAAAGACUGACGCUCAGGUGCGAAAGCGUGGGGAGCAAACAGG